RNAcentral lists this ribosomal RNA (253 nucleotides) under uncultured bacterium. RNAcentral's name for it is "partial 16S ribosomal RNA". It matches the Rfam family "Bacterial small subunit ribosomal RNA", at positions 524 to 776 of the family's 1533-position model. The record is from RNAcentral.
UACAGAGGUCCCAAGCGUUGUUCGGAUUCACUGGGCGUAAAGGGCGCGUAGGUGGUUCUGUAUGUCUACCGUGAAAGCGUACGGCUCAACUGUAUUUUGUCGGUGGAAACUGCAGGACUUGAGGCUGGGAGGGGCUGGUGGAAUUCCCUGUGUAGCGGUGAAAUGCGUAGAGAUGGGGGAGAACACUCGUGGCGAAGGCGGCCAGCUAGACCAGUUCUGACACUGAGGCGCGACAGCGUGGGGAGCAAACAGG